RNAcentral lists this long non-coding RNA (303 nucleotides) under Elaeis guineensis (African oil palm). RNAcentral's name for it is "long non-coding RNA (EGUI_LNC037147)". Lineage: Eukaryota; Viridiplantae; Streptophyta; Magnoliopsida; Arecales; Arecaceae. The record is from RNAcentral.
AUCGAGCUAUGCGAUUAGAGGCAUCGGGACGGUCAGCUAGAGGACACAUGAUGGUGCAGUGAGGAGAUUGAUGGAGAUCCAAUACAUAUCUGAUUUUAGGUGGAAUCUUAUCUCUCUAAGCAGACUAGAUUCGAGAGGUUAUAUGAUGGUCGUUUGUAGAGAAAUUCUGAAGGUGUUGUGCGAUGAUAGGAUUAUUUUAGAGGAAAAAAAAAGGAUGAGAGGACAUUACUACCUAGUGAAGAGUUCAGUGUGAGGUAGAGCUUCAGGAGCUAAAAGGAGUCCAGUGCGAAGUGGAGCUCCGGG